This 463-nucleotide ribosomal RNA is filed under the name uncultured bacterium. Its description in RNAcentral is "partial 16S ribosomal RNA". It matches the Rfam family "Bacterial small subunit ribosomal RNA", at positions 28 to 507 of the family's 1533-position model. The record is from RNAcentral.
GAUGAACGCUGACAGAAUGCUUAACACAUGCAAGUCUUUGGCGAAGCUGUGCUUGCACAGCCUAGCCAAGGCGGACGGGUGAGUAACGCGUAAGGAACUUGCCCUGCAGUCAGGGAUAACAGACGGAAACGACUGAUAAGACCUGGUAAAGUCAGGCGGACUCAUGUCCAGCCUGAUGAAAAGAGAUGCUGCAGGAGAGCCUUGCGUCCUAUUAGCUUGUUGGUGGGGUAACGGCCCACCAAGGCGAUGAUAGGUAGCCGGCCUGAGAGGGUGGACGGCCACAAGGGGACUGAGAUACGGCCCUUACUCCUACGGGAGGCAGCAGUGGGGAAUAUUGGACAAUGGGGGCAACCCUGAUCCAGCAAUUCUGUGUGCACGAUGAAGGUUUUCGGAUUGGAAAGUGCUUUCAGCAGGGAAGAAAAAAAUGACGGUACCUGCAGAAGAAGCGACGGCUAAAUACGUG